ACCCCCAAUCAUUCCACUUGAGUAGCAGGUGAUGUCACUGAGGCAUCCUUUUUAUUUUGAAAAAAACCUCUUUUAAAUAUGCGAGUCUGUAAUUAUAUACAUCUAGUAGUUCGUGCGUGUAAUCCAAGUUUAUAAUAACGUUUAUAGCUCAAUGCAAAAAAAAAAAGAAGCGGUUUUAAGUAAAUCUCCAACCUACAGACGACCAGCUAAACGAGGCUGCUGGAUAACGCUAAUGAGCUGGAAGAGAGUGUGUGGCUAAACAUCUUGUCCACAGCAGCCUCCUCCCAGGCCAUGGUGGUAUGUGGCAGGCAGGUUUUUGUAGACAGCGCGACUGUAAGGGAUGAAACAGAGGCUGAGCUGCAGGAGACGAGCCAAUCUGCAAUAGGCAGCCAACGCCAGAACAAGCAGUGGAGUGACAAGCAGGAAGCCCACGAUUAACAUAGCCACACAGCCUCCGUCACUCAGCAGGCCCGAACAAUAGGGUGAUGUAUCAUUUGGACGCACCUUAGAAAGCGAGAGUGUGAUCAUAGUGGAUCACUUGGUCAUUGGAGCCCUUGAAGAGUCUGCAGUGGGCUCCUGGGAUGAUGUGAACUCUCCUGACCUCACUAAUGCUCCUGUUUAAACAUCUGAGAAAUACCAGAGAUUAAGAGAUUAUGUACCAGAAAGGAGAGAAAGACCACACAUCUUCCUGAUUUCUGUGGUUAACAUUUGUCAUGAUUGGUGGAGUGGCACAUAAAUCCAAACACCACCAUAACUAUGACAGGAGUGAGGAUCAGGCCAAACACCAAAGCAGCCAGGAACACGUUAAUAGUAGCUAUCACCAGGUUCUGGGCUGUUACAAGUACUGAAC
Long non-coding RNA from Pangasianodon hypophthalmus (striped catfish), 850 nucleotides. RefSeq lists it as uncharacterized. The transcript is spliced from 4 exons. The record is from RefSeq and is a predicted model, not a curated record. Lineage: Eukaryota; Metazoa; Chordata; Actinopteri; Siluriformes; Pangasiidae.